UACGGAGGGAGCUAGCGUUGUUCGGAAUUACUGGGCGUAAAGCGCACGUAGGCGGCUCAGCAAGUCAGGGGUGAAAUCCCGGGGCUCAACCCCGGAACUGCCCUUGAAACUGCUAAGCUAGAAUCUUGGAGAGGCGAGUGGAAUUCCGAGUGUAGAGGUGAAAUUCGUAGAUAUUCGGAAGAACACCAGUGGCGAAGGCGACUACCUGGCCUGUUCUUGACGCUGAGGCGCGAAAGCUAGGGGAGCAAACGGG
RNAcentral lists this ribosomal RNA (253 nucleotides) under uncultured bacterium. Its description in RNAcentral is "partial 16S ribosomal RNA". It matches the Rfam family "Bacterial small subunit ribosomal RNA", at positions 524 to 776 of the family's 1533-position model. The record is from RNAcentral.